AGGGUUUGAUCAUGGCUCAGGACGAACGCUUGCGGCGUGCCUAAGAAAUGCAAGUCGAGCGGAUUAAAGAGACUUCGGUCUCUUUAGUUAGCGGCGAACGGUCGCGUAACACGUAGGCAACCUGCCCCAAAGACCGGGACAACAGUGGGAAACCGCUGCUAAUACCGGAUGUGGUCACUUCCUCGCCUGGGGAGGUGAUUAAACCGAGCAAUUGGCUUUGGGAGGGGCCUGCGGCCUAUCAGCUAGAUGGUGGGGUAACGGCCUACCAUGGCGACGACGGGUAGCUGGUCUGAGAGGAUGGUCAGCCGGACUGGGACUGAGACACGGCCCAGACUCCUACGGGGGGCAGCAAUUAGGAAUCUUGUGCAAUGGGCGAAAGCCUGACACAGCGACGCCGCGUGAGGGAGGACGGCCUUCGGGUUGUAAACCUCUUUUAACGAGGAAGAAACAAAUGACGGUACUCGUUGAAUAAGCCCCGGCUAACUCCGUGCCAGCAGCCGCGGUAAUACGGAGGGGGCGAGCGUUGUCCGAAGUUACUGGGCGUAAAGCGCGCGUAGGCGGGUUGGCAAGUCCGCUGUGAAAGCCCGAGGCUUAACCUCGGCGGGUCGGUGGAUACUGCCAGUCUUGAAGGUGCUAGGGGGAGAUGGAAUUACCGGUGUAGCGGUGAAAUGCGUAGAUAUCGGUAGGAACACCAGUGGCGAAGGCGGUCUCCUGGGGCAUUCUUGACGCUGAGGCGCGAAAGCUGGGGGAGCGAACGGGAUUAGAUACCCCGGUAGUCCCAGCCCUAAACGAUGGAUACUAGGUGUCGGGGGUAUCGACCCCCCCGGU
RNAcentral lists this ribosomal RNA (828 nucleotides) under uncultured Armatimonadota bacterium. RNAcentral describes it as "bacterial SSU rRNA". It matches the Rfam family "Bacterial small subunit ribosomal RNA", at positions 8 to 844 of the family's 1533-position model. Lineage: Bacteria; Bacillati; Armatimonadota. The record is from RNAcentral.